GUCAAAUGACGCUCAGAGUGGUUUCAGAGCUAUGCUGGAAACAGCAUAGCAAGUUGAAAUAAGGCUAGUCCGUUAUCAACUUGAAAAAGUGGCACCGAGUCGGUGCUUUUUUU
Molecule: small RNA, 113 nt
Filed under: Vector pAAVsc_gPCSK9
Description: PCSK9-gRNA3
Rfam family: Trans-activating crRNA (bases 22-113)
About the family: RNA-guided Streptococcus pyogenes Cas9 (SpCas9) is a sequence-specific DNA endonuclease, the Trans-activating CRISPR RNA form an hybrid with the crRNA (crRNA/tracrRNA).
Source: RNAcentral